This 186-nucleotide unclassified non-coding RNA is filed under the name uncultured Helotiales. RNAcentral's name for it is "sequence contains ITS1". The record is from RNAcentral. Lineage: Eukaryota; Fungi; Ascomycota; Leotiomycetes; Helotiales.
CUGAGCUUCAUUGCCUAAGGAAGAGUCUUCUGACUCCCCUUAGGUGAGAACUCCACCCUUUGUUUACAUUACCUUUGUUGCUUUAGCAGGUCCGCCUCCGGGCAACCGGCUUUUCUGCUGGUUAGUACCUGCUAAGGGACCUAAAACUCUUGUUAAUUAUGUCGUCUGAGUACUAUAUAAUAGUUA